GUGAGGAAUAUUGGUCAAUGGGCGGGAGCCUGAACCAGCCAAGUCGCGUGAAGGAAGAAGGAUCUAUGGUUCGUAAACUUCUUUUGCAGGGGAAUAAAGUGCAGGACGUGUCCUGUUUUGUAUGUACCCUGAGAAUAAGGAUCGGCUAACUCCGUGCCAGCAGCCGCGGUAAUACGGAGGAUCCGAGCGUUAUCCGGAUUUAUUGGGUUUAAAGGGUGCGUAGGUGGUUUGAUAAGUCAGCGGUGAAAGUUUGCAGCUUAACUGUAAAAAUGCCGUUGAAACUGUCGGACUUGAGUGUAAAUGAGGUAGGCGGAAUGAGUGGUGUAGCUGUGAAAUGCAUAGAUAUCACGCAGAACUCCUAGUGCGAAGGCAGCUUACUACGCUACAACUGACACUGAAGCACGAAAGCGUGGGGAUCAAACAGGAUUAGAUACCCGGGUAGUCC
RNAcentral lists this ribosomal RNA (445 nucleotides) under uncultured bacterium. RNAcentral's name for it is "partial 16S ribosomal RNA". It matches the Rfam family "Bacterial small subunit ribosomal RNA", at positions 354 to 796 of the family's 1533-position model. The record is from RNAcentral.